RNAcentral lists this ribosomal RNA (410 nucleotides) under uncultured bacterium. RNAcentral describes it as "bacterial SSU rRNA". It matches the Rfam family "Bacterial small subunit ribosomal RNA", at positions 355 to 775 of the family's 1533-position model. The record is from RNAcentral.
UGGGGAAUCUUGCACAAUGGGCGAAAGCCUGAUGCAGCGACGCCGCGUGGGGGAUGAAGGCCCUCGGGUUGUAAACCCCUUUCGGCAGGGAAGAAGCCGCAAGGUGACGGUUCCUGCAGAAGAAGCCCCGGCCAACUACGUGCCAGCAGCCGCGGUAAGACGUAGGGGGCGAGCGUUGUCCGGAUUCACUGGGCGUAAAGCGCGCGUAGGCGGCUCGUUAAGUCGGAUGUGAAAACCCGGGGCUCAACCCCGGGCCUGCACCCGAUACUGGCGGGCUGGAGGCAGGUAGGGGAGAUCGGAAUUCCCGGUGUAGCGAUGAAAUGCGCAGAUAUCGGGAGGAACACCGGUGGCGAAGGCGGAUCUCUGGGCCUGUCCUGACGCUCAGGCGCGAAAGCUAGGGGAGCAAACAG